Molecule: ribosomal RNA, 573 nt
Rfam family: Eukaryotic large subunit ribosomal RNA
GAGGAAAAGAAACCAACAGGGAUUGCCCUAGUAACGGCGAGUGAAGCGGCAACAGCUCAAAUUUGAAAUCUGGCCCUCGGGUCCGAGUUGUAAUUUGUAGAGGAUGCUUUUGGUGCGGUGCCUUCCGAGUUCCCUGGAACGGGACGCCAUAGAGGGUGAGAGCCCCGUCUGGUUGGACGCCAAUCCUAUGUAAAGCUCCUUCGACGAGUCGAGUAGUUUGGGAAUGCUGCUCUAAAUGGGAGGUAUAUGUCUUCUAAAGCUAAAUAUUGGCCAGAGACCGAUAGCGCACAAGUAGAGUGAUCGAAAGAUGAAAAGCACUUUGAAAAGAGAGUUAAAAAGCACGUGAAAUUGUUGAAAGGGAAGCGCUUAUGACCAGACUUGGGCUUGGUUGAUCAUCCGGCGUUCUCGCCGGUGCACUCUUCCGGUCCAGGCCAGCAUCAGUUUGCUCCGGGGGAUAAAGGCUUUGGGAAUGUGGCUCCCUCGGGAGUGUUAUAGCCCAUUGUGUAAUACCCUGGAGCGGACUGAGGUACGCGUUCUGCAAGGAUGCUGGCGUAAUGGUCAUCAGUGACCCGU